GCAAUUAUACAGCGAAACUGCGAAUGGCUCAUUAUAUAAGUUAUCGUUUAUUUGAUAGUACUUUACUACUUGGAUAACCGUGGUAAUUCUAGAGCUAAUACAUGCUAAAAAUCCCGACUUCGGAAGGGAUGUAUUUAUUAGAUUAAAAACCAAUGCCCUUUGGGCUCCUUGGUGAAUCAUGAUAACUUCUCGAAUCGCAUGGCCUUGCGCCGGCGAUGGUUCAUUCAAAUUUCUUCCCUAUCAACUUUCGAUGUUUGGGUAUUGGCCAAACAUGGUCGCAACGGGUAACGGAGGGUUAGGGCUCGACCCCGGAGAAGGAGCCUGAGAAACGGCUACUACAUCCAAGGAAGGCAGCAGGCGCGCAAAUUACCCAAUCCCGACUCGGGGAGGUAGUGACAAUAAAUACUGAUACGAGGCUCUUUUGGGCCUUGUAAUUGGAAUGAGUACAAUUUAAAUCUCUUAACGAGGAACAAUUGGAGGGCAAGUCUGGUGCCAGCAGCCGCGGUAAUUCCAGCUCCAAUAGCGUAUAUUAAAGUUGUUGUGGUUAAAAAGCUCGUAGUUGAACCUUGGGCCUGGCUGGCCGGUCCGCCUCACCGCGUGUACUGGUCCGGCCGGGCCUUUCCCUCUGUGGAACCUCAUGCCCUUCACUGGGUGUGACGGGGAAGCAGGACUUUUACUGUGAAAAAAUUAGAGUGCUCCAAGCAGGCCUAUGCUCGAAUACAUUAGCAUGGAAUAAUGAAAUAGGACGUGCGGUUCUAUUUUGUUGGUUUCUAGGACCGCCGUAAUGAUUAAUAGGGACAGUCGGGGGCAUCAGUAUUCAAUUGUCAGAGGUGAAAUUCUUGGAUUUAUUGAAGACUAACUACUGCGAAAGCAUUUGCCAAGGAUGUUUUCAUUAAUCAGGAACGAAAGUUAGGGGAUCGAAGACGAUCAGAUACCGUCGUAGUCUUAACCAUAAACUAUGCCGACUAGGGAUCGGACGAUGUUAUUUUUUGACUCGUUCGGCACCUUACGAGAAAUCAAAGUGUUUGGGCUCC
Molecule: ribosomal RNA, 1034 nt
Filed under: Leptobacillium sp.
Lineage: Eukaryota; Fungi; Ascomycota; Sordariomycetes; Hypocreales; Cordycipitaceae
Description: SSU rRNA
Rfam family: Eukaryotic small subunit ribosomal RNA
Source: RNAcentral